AGACGCUGUCCCAUCUCCUGGAUGAGGUUGGCCGCCUGCUGGCGGCACGAGAGCUCUUUAUCCGCCUCCACUCCGCAGCGGCGGCUCGGCGUGUUCUCCAGCUGUUCCCGAGUAAAGAACCAGCGAGAAGAAGCUCCACGGCCCGACGCCAUGACACUUCCUCCUCCGCCCGCUCCUUCAUUCACCCCCCGCCCCUCCUGGCUCGCGGACUCCCCGCCAAGGCGCGCGACCCCGCCCCACUCCGCUCGCCGUAGACCACGCACCACCCUUUUUCACCACCGCCUCCGCCCUUGCGCAUGCGCGGGGCCCGCUCUACCGACUCGCCCUAGUCUUUUGCUUUCUUUUUCUGCCCUCGGCCUCGCUCUUGCGCACGGGACCACAAUGCUCCGCGCCGCUUGUCAUUGGGAGGCGCCGAAGGUGGAGAGGUCGGCUCGGAAGGAAAAGAUCACUCACUCUUGGGGGCAUCCAGCAGCCAUGUUGUGAGGACACUCAAGCAGCUGUGAAGAGGUGCACCUGGAGAGGAACUGAGGCCUCCCACCAAAACCAAGCACUGACAUGCCACUCAUGGGUAAAAUCCACCUUGAAUGUAAAUCCUUUAGCCCCAGCCAAGCUUUUAGAUAACUACAGCCCUGACUGACACCUUG
RNAcentral lists this long non-coding RNA (644 nucleotides) under Homo sapiens (human). RNAcentral describes it as "non-protein coding CCNT2-AS1:3". Lineage: Eukaryota; Metazoa; Chordata; Mammalia; Primates; Hominidae. The record is from RNAcentral.